GAAAAAUUGUGCAGAGCCUUCAGUUCACGCACAGCCCCCCAUUCUUCUUCCUCUGUUCUUCUUUUCUCCUUUGUUCUUCCUUUUGCCCGAGUGAGAGAGAGUGAUGCGAGAGAGUGAGGGACGAGAUAGAGAUGAGAGACUGAGAGAGAUUCAGGGAGAUUGAGGGAGAGAUCGGGAGGAUCCGAGAGAGAGAAACAGAGAAAGGGAGACGGAGAUUGAGAAAGAGAGAAAGGGGAGUUUGAGAGAGUGAGUUCGAGAGAGAGAGUGAUGCUGUCAGUGAGGGGUGCGAACCGGAGAAGAAGAAAAACCCAGGGACCGUGCAACCCAACUGAACCCGAUUCACCCGAAUCCCGACGGGUCUGGCAGACGCGAAACAGAGAGGGAGUGCCGAGGGAGAUUCGGCCGUUCAGGGAUCCUCCGACGGAGCUACGUGGCUGAUCCUCCAGUAUCAAAUUUCGACGAGUUCUCCGACAGUCCCGGUAUGGAUUUCCGGCGAAAACAGUGACGAUUUUCUGUGGUUCUUGAGCUCUAUUUUAUUAGGAUCAUGUUCGGAUUGGAGGCUUUAAUUGGUUCUCCAAUGUAGAGUCCAAGUGACUAGAGUUCAAGGGAGUGUUCGAGUUGAAGUCCAAUGCAGCCAAGAUGAUGUUUCUUUGGCUGCAGGUACUUCGGUAUAGUCGAUGGGUCGGUAGCAGUAUGCUUGGGAUAUUAUGACUGAAGCUCGUCGCAACAGUUGUAAUUGUCGGACCACGGGUUGUCCACUAUUUCACAGGUUUGGUAUGGCUUGUGACAUUUGUGUCACUUAUUCUUUGUUAAGCCAUUAUUGUUAUGUAAAUAUUGUGUUAAUAAGACUCAAACAGAUAGAUGUUAAAUGGCUCAAUGCUGUAAUUAAUUUGUGAUAGAUGUAUGAGUUGUAAUUUCCGCUAUUUA
Alnus glutinosa is the source of this 927-nucleotide long non-coding RNA. RefSeq lists it as uncharacterized. The transcript has 3 exons. NCBI's taxonomy places the organism in Eukaryota, Viridiplantae, Streptophyta, Magnoliopsida, Fagales, Betulaceae. The record is from RefSeq and is a predicted model, not a curated record.